GUGGGGAAUAUUGGACAAUGGGGGAAACCCUGAUCCAGCGACGCCGCGUGAGUGAAGAAGUAUUUCGGUAUGUAAAGCUCUAUCAGCAGGGAAGAAAAAAAUGACGGUACCUGACUAAGAAGCCCCGGCUAACUACGUGCCAGCAGCCGCGGUAAUACGUAGGGGGCAAGCGUUAUCCGGAUUUACUGGGUGUAAAGGGAGCGUAGACGGCAGGGCAAGUCUGAUGUGAAAGGUCGGGGCCCAACCCCGGGACUGCAUUGGAAACUGUCCGGCUGGAGUACAGGAGAGGUAAGUGGAAUUCCUAGUGUAGCGGUGAAAUGCGUAGAUAUUAGGAGGAACACCAGUGGCGAAGGCGGCUUACUGGACUGUAACUGACGUUGAGGCUCGAAGGCCAGGGGAGCGAAAGGGA
This 409-nucleotide ribosomal RNA is filed under the name uncultured bacterium. Its description in RNAcentral is "bacterial SSU rRNA". It matches the Rfam family "Bacterial small subunit ribosomal RNA", at positions 354 to 777 of the family's 1533-position model. The record is from RNAcentral.